Molecule: long non-coding RNA, 2145 nt
Organism: Suricata suricatta (meerkat)
Lineage: Eukaryota; Metazoa; Chordata; Mammalia; Carnivora; Herpestidae
Exons: 4
Source: RefSeq, a predicted model, not a curated record
UUGCUGUGGGAGCCGGGUGGGGCAGGAAGGGGCUGGCUGCUCAGCAGGGUGCCCGGGACAGAAAGGUGGGGGCGGGGGAGGUGCAGGUGUGAUGGGCCCACCCGCUGCUCUUCACCUCUGUCCCCGCUCCUGCCCGAGCAGCCCACUGGGGUCACCAUCAACCCCAGGAGACACCAGCCCAAGAGCCCUCAGGUCGCCCAGGUGGCACCCACUAAACCUGUCCUGCAAACCCGCCCCGGCUCCCGCACAAGGAGCACCAGCUGUGUGGCCCGGAUGCCCAUUCUUGGCUCCUCUAUCCUCCAUGCUCUGUAUUUAAUCCGUCCCUACCUCCUGUCUGUCUGUCACCAGAAAACCCGGGCUUCACUCCUGGCUCAUGACUGACUGACGGACAGACCUCCAGGCUGCGCCUCCCCGUGCCCUCCAGCCCGACCGCCAGCGCACCGUGCGCCUCAGGCUGCGAGGGAACCCCUGACCCUUGACGUUUUCUAUUAGACCACAAGCUCUUCUGGGGCAGGCCUGGCCCUUCGGAGGACAUGCAGGGGACUGGCCGGGCCGACCGGGUGCAGAGGGAGGGCCCGAGGCUCACUGUGCUCGUGUUUGAGGGUUCAGCCUCAUGCCAGGGGCUGUCCAGGGCCCUAUCAUGGCCCGAACACUGCAAUCAAAUAGCUAUAAACUGCUAAUCUCCGGACUCCGGAACUGCGGCUGUUCGGUAGGAAAGACCAAAAGCAAAUGGUGAACGAAAGAGAAGACACACAUGCAUGCACAAAAUAAAAUCCACACCGCCACUGCCGCCACCAACCAGCACGCCAUGGGACACCAGACCGACAGGCUGUCCGGACUCUGAAUUCACACGCGUUCUCCUACAGACUGCACCGCUCUGGAACCCUGAGCAGGGCCCAGAACCAUUUCUUCUGGAGUAACCUCAGCACUCAGACCUGAAGGACCUGUUCUCGCUGGCUUCUCGAUUCACUCCGUGGCCAGGGGAGGGUUAGCAGCAAUAAUGUGGUGCCCUUGCCCCCGUCCCAAAGGACCCCGACGGCGGGCCCUCAGCAAAACCCUGCGGCCGCUCCCUGCUCCCGUGUGCAGAGGGGAACCGGCUCGCUGAUGGGGAUCCCGGGCACGUGCUCCCACUUGGUCGGGCCCCUGAGCCAGAGACUGGAGCCUGUUGACUGAAAAUUCAUCCGGGAGAUAGAUAAGGUGCCUUCCCCUUGGCCCCCAUUCAGAGGUGAAAUGGGAAGGCAGAGAGACCUCUAGAGGUAGGUUUGAGGAGCAGAUUUAGGGGAGUUCUGCACACCCCUUUCCCAGCUUGACCGAGCCACUGAUUCAGCAUAGGUGCUGGACAGUUUGCCUGCCUCCUGGAGUUUCUGGUGGAACGAGAAACCUAACUCCGAUUUCUCCUUCGUGUCUAUGCAGUCUGUCUACGCAGUGUGCGUCCUCCUAGCAGCGUCUCGGCCUUGGGCUGCGAGGCUUGAAGCGGGGAGGGAACUGGAUUUCGAGCUCCUGAAGGAAUUGCUAUGUUUCGCUGGAUAUGCCCCCUCCUGCACAAGGCGGUCGUUUAAAAAUAUGUUUCUAUUUCCACUGACAAACCCAAAUUAUUUUUGCUUCCACCCCCCCGCCCCAUCACCUACACAACCCAGAACCUUUCCACAGACUUAUCGCUGGUCCCCUGGCCACCAUUUGCCACCUGUGUGAUACUUCAUCCAGUCAGCACAGCUUCACAGGCCCAACCUGCUCACCACCUGCACCUGUCAACUUAGACUCCCUCCCUUUGACACCUUCUAGAACAAUCUCAGAACACACCACCCCCCCUUGGUCUUGGGGCCCAAGAAGGCUCAGAAGCUUCUUAGGGGAAGAAGGGCUGGAAGGCUACAGGCGCCCUCUCAGCGACACUCCCACUAGUGUGACAGGAGCGGUGAGGACAGGGACCCGCAUGGUCUCCAGCAUGGGCCGGGCCUCCCGGUGGAUAGCGGACGCUUCCAGAGAGUUCCCCAGCAUGCUGCUACCAGGAGAACUGGAGGGACGUGUUGCCGAGAAAGCAGAGGCGCUUUUCCGCUCCAGUCCGCUAUCGAAUGCAGGCCCUCGCCAGUCAGGACCGAGACCGAGGCAGGAGCCUCCGGCACGUGCGCACGCCCAGCAAGCUUGGUG